AAUAUAUGACGCCAUUGACUAUUUUAGAUACGUUUGACCAUUCGUCUUAUUUAAAAAUUUAUGUAAUUAUCAUUUAUUUUAUUGUGACUUGAUUUAUCAUAAAAUGUUAUUUAAGUAUGACUUAAAUUCUUUUAUAUUUGCAAACAAAAAAUGAAUAAGACAAAUGGUCAAACGUUUGCAAAAAAAUCAACGGCGUUAUAUAUU
RNAcentral lists this microRNA precursor (204 nucleotides) under Oryza sativa Indica Group (long-grained rice). RNAcentral describes it as "MIR812 microRNA precursor family". It matches the Rfam family "MIR812 microRNA precursor family". The record is from Rfam by way of RNAcentral. Lineage: Eukaryota; Viridiplantae; Streptophyta; Magnoliopsida; Poales; Poaceae.